Labrus mixtus (cuckoo wrasse) is the source of this 3361-nucleotide long non-coding RNA. RefSeq lists it as uncharacterized. The record is from RefSeq and is a predicted model, not a curated record. The transcript has 2 exons. Lineage: Eukaryota; Metazoa; Chordata; Actinopteri; Labriformes; Labridae.
UAAUAUCGGCCGAUAUUAUCGGCUAAAUGAUUAAUCGUCGGUCUCUAAUCACAACUCUGACUCAGUUCGUUAACGUGACCUACUUUUAGGCCACUUCUUUAUGGCCAGUCCCCGUGUCGCCCCCUGGCGCUACAGCUGUGAGUGAUCGCUGGCCUCAAUGAAGAUGCCCUUGGUUACAUAUAAGUGGCACUUCUACUUUUAUAGACAUAUUUUGGUAUUUAAAAAAAUAUGACAAACCCACUUUUUUCAGGUGUAAUUUAGGAAAAUAAACCCCGUCUUAUAUUCUGAAGAAUAAGGUAAUCCAACACUUUACUUCUUGGUUAUAUGAAAGGCAAAGACUUUGAUUUAAUAAAUGUAAGGGUCCCAAUUGGACCAUGUACCUACCCUUAGAACAUUGCCUCUUUUUGACCAGCUGAGGUCUCUAAAAUUGUGUGCAGCUGUCAAGAUGCCUAUGCAGUGUCUUCUACGUUCAACUUUAAUUUGCAAGAGAAUGCAAAUGAAUGAACAUCUUGAGGUUUCUCAGCUGAAUGAGCAACAGUAUCGAAUAACUUUGAAGCCUCAGUGUUCAUGGUUUAAUUACAUGAAUACGUCUUCAAGCUGCCAAGACAAAGUUGGACAGAUUUCUUGAUGAAGAUACUUUAGGAGCCAAAACUAGACAAUGUGUGUCAGAAUUGAUUAAUGCAUGGAAUUAGUCAACCAAGCCAAUGUCCCUGUAUUGUAUAGUGUGUGUAUUGAGACAUAAAACUCAGCUUUUGUUGUGGUUUUUAGUGUACUAUGGGCCAGAUUUACUAAGCUCCCAAUUAAAGAGUACUAAAUUGCGUGUUCACUCCAAAAGUUUGCACGUUUGGUUGGUGGGCAUUUUGCGGGUGAUCUACUUUUACAUAAAUGUCAAUGUUGAAAUUCAAUAGAAUUCAGAGGCUGUGGAUGUUCAGUUCUGUUUGGCUAUAUGGCAACAAUAGCCUGUAGUUUAAUCAGGCGUUUCUCUUCCUUAACGAUUAGAAUAUUCAGUCAAAUUAAAAAAUAAAUGCAUGCCAUUUAUUUUUCUGUCAUUUGAAACAUGUAAACACUUGUGGGGAAUAACGCGAUCUUUAUGCCUUCUUUUGUUGUGCCUAUGUCUCCUCCUAACUACAAUCACAUCAGCCUGUUGUGUGUAACACUGGUCUCCUGGGUUAGCACGUUCCUUUCAAAGGUGUUAAAUACAGACACCGUCACAAUCACCGCAGUUUUUGUCAGGUUUGGUAAAUCACAAUGCGUGUACUAACUUAACUUGUUUGCAUUUUCUCCUCCCAGUAUUUUGCACGUUAGGGCAGAAACGCCCCAUAUUGCAUAUUCAUUAAGUCAAACGUACUAAAUGGUCAAUGCGUGUUGUUUUGCUCAUUUGAAAGACGCAAUCCUCACUGCACGCCGUUAGUAGAUCAGAUAGCACUUUUUUUGCUGGUGGUAUCAAGUUUGCACACGUUUUAAGACACGCAAACCUUUAGUAAAUCUGGCCUUAUGACUUAUAGGUCCAGGGUUUGAUAUUCCAAUGUGGUGUUCACACAUAAACACCAAGAGAAGCCAGAUGCUAUAACAAGCAACACUGCAUGCCUUUCAUUUCCCUGUGAUAGAAUGUGCUGGAGCGUGGCACAUGCUUCAUGGAUAUUUCUGCUACCAUAGUAAUCCUCUUUGUAUUUUCAGCCCUAUAUUUUAGCAUGAGGAUAUUCUUAUAUUGGACUGCGGAGUAGAAUGCCAGCUCAGUUCACCAACUGCACCAAUAGCCUGCGGAAUUCCCAUUAUGUAGGAGACAUGGGGGGUCAUCCUAAUGUUCCCAGGGUCCUAUGUGUCCAGGGUCAUAUGUUAACCAUCAUUUAAAAAGAUUAAUGAGGGGUUCAUUUGUGUAUUUAUUUAAGAAAAACUCAAGGUGUCUGGUUGAUUCACAUGCAAUUUGAGUGACAAAAGUCUGUCAAACCAGCCUGAUCUCACCAAUAAACUUUAAAUUAGCUCUACCUUGUGAGAGUGCAUUUCAAGUGCAGUAGGGUAGGGGAAAACAAAACAAAACCUCCACAUACAUUAUUGUUUUGAUCUAAAUAAGAACUGAAUGUUACGUGCAGAAUCCGCAUGAUAUAAGUUAUGUUGAGUAUGUUCGGUUUUAGCAAGUUAUGAAAUGUAGACAUUACAGACACCACAUUGUGUUGCAUAAUAUGUUAGGUUGCACAUGUUAAAUUACAUAGGUCACAUUUCAUAGGUUGCAUUGUUUACCUUAUGUCCAUAAGUUACGUUGUACUCACCACAAUUGUACAUUGAAUAUGUUACAAUUCAUAUUUUACGUGCACGUUAUGUUGUAUACAACACGUGUAUAUGUUACAUUGCAUAAGUUAAGUUGCAUAUUUUGUUGUGCACAUUAAGUGGUAUACAUUGCAUAUGUUUCAUUGCACAUGUUCCAUUGAAUGUGUUUCAUUGCAUACUUUGUGUGCACGUAAUGUUGCAUACAUCACUUUGUUUAUGUUUCAUUUAACAUGUAAUGUUAUGAAGAUGAUGAAAAAGAAAAUCAGUUGAGAACUAGGUCAGUUAAGUAACAUAUGUCACCAGUAAAAAAAAUUAAAAUAAGUCAGUGUUGACUUCCCAUCUCACAUGUGACUCCAUCUCUGGUCCUGUGUUUGCAUGACUCAUCCUUGGCCACUUACUACUAUACCAGCAGUCUGUAUAGCUCUUCAUACAACUUCCUCUAGAGGAUUUAUGUGUCCACCACAUUUACAGAUCUUUAUUGACUUUGGGCAGAUGUGUCUCAAAGGUAGAGUCGGUCGUCUCUCAACUAAAAGGUUGAGGAUUAAAUCCCCAGCUCCUGCAGUCACAUGUCGAUGUGUUGUUGGGAAAGACACUUUCCACUUUGCCAUCAGUGUGUGAAUGUGGUGAAUUGGUUCGGUGUGACCUGUGAUGUAAAAAUCACUUUGAGUACUCAGAAAAAAACACUUUACAAGCUCAAGUCCAUUUACUUUUACUUUUAAUUUAACAAAUUCUUCUCUGGGGCCGACACUUUAUUUCUAUACAUCACACGCCUUUAUCAAGUAAAGCUGUGGUAAGAGGCCAAGGCUGUUCCUGGCUAUUUUGUGAGACCAUUAUGGUUCUGCCAACGUGGAGAUAUCAAUGCCAAGACACCCCUCUUGCCCACAUUUUGAAGGCGUAGGUUUUAAGAAGUAUAACAUCAGUUGAGAUUAUAUUAAACCAAGGGACAUUUACACAAAGCUGUGCUGAAAACUGCCUCUCCUUCUGAAAAAGUCUCCUUGAUCCGUCUCAUUAAGAGGAUAUUAAGUAGGGGAACAUACGACCCUGGCAGCUUAGAGCCCUGGGAACAUGGAAAUGCUGCUCCGGCAAUCUCCACACA